This 28-nucleotide ribosomal RNA is filed under the name Fomitopsis sp. IMER2. Its description in RNAcentral is "partial 28S ribosomal RNA". Lineage: Eukaryota; Fungi; Basidiomycota; Agaricomycetes; Polyporales; Fomitopsidaceae. The record is from RNAcentral.
UUUGACCUUUGACCUCAAAUCAGGUAGG